RNAcentral lists this ribosomal RNA (377 nucleotides) under uncultured Chloroflexota bacterium. Its description in RNAcentral is "bacterial SSU rRNA". It matches the Rfam family "Bacterial small subunit ribosomal RNA", at positions 521 to 896 of the family's 1533-position model. The record is from RNAcentral. Lineage: Bacteria; Bacillati; Chloroflexota.
UAAUACGUAGGGGGCUAGCGUUGUCCGGAUUUACUGGGCGUAAAGGGAGCGCAGGUGGCUGAGUUCGUCGGUGGUGCAAGCUCCAGGCUUAACUUGGAGAGGUCUACCGAUACUGCUCGGCUUGAGGACGGUAGAGGAGCACGGAAUUCCUGGUGUAGUGGUGAAAUGCGUAGAUAUCAGGAGGAACACCAGUGGCGAAAGCGGUGCUCUGGGCCGUUUCUGACACUCAGGCUCGAAAGCGUGGGGAGCAAACAGGAUUAGAUACCCUGGUAGUCCACGCCCUAAACGAUGAAUGCUGGAUAUAGGGGGUAUCGACCCCUCCUGUGUCGAAGCUUACGCGUUAAGCAUUCCGCCUGGGAACUACGGCCGCAAGGCUA